This 63-nucleotide transfer RNA is filed under the name Oecleopsis sinicus. RNAcentral's name for it is "tRNA-Ala". It matches the Rfam family "tRNA". From Rfam's summary of the family: Transfer RNA (tRNA) molecules are approximately 80 nucleotides in length. Their secondary structure includes four short double-helical elements and three loops (D, anti-codon, and T loops). The record is from RNAcentral. Lineage: Eukaryota; Metazoa; Arthropoda; Insecta; Hemiptera; Cixiidae.
AGGAAAGUAGUUAAGUAUAACAUUUGCACUGCAAGCAAAAAGUAUUGUUUUCAAUCUUUCUUA